RNAcentral lists this long non-coding RNA (381 nucleotides) under Anolis carolinensis (green anole). Its description in RNAcentral is "lncRNA (ENSACAG00000037279.1)". Lineage: Eukaryota; Metazoa; Chordata; Lepidosauria; Squamata; Anolidae. The record is from RNAcentral.
AUGGAUUCCAGUAGUCCGAAGCAAACUGAUGACUGCCAAGAGUCCCAAAGAGAUGUAUUUGAAUUUUCUGCUCCUUUGGAAAAUGUUAACAACGUAAUCAGGAAACACAAGAAAAAGUCUGCAGUGUGGCAUAGAGUUUCUAAAGUGAUUUCUAAGAUGGUCGAAGAAAAUGGACAUUUUCGAAACCGACUUAUACACUGCAGCCAACUUUCAAAUGAAGGAAGAAGCCAUUUUUGGAUGGGUGUAAGGCAUAAAAAUGAGAAAAUGAAGCUUUAUUAUGAUGAGUAUUAUUAUUGGAUUGUUUUAUAUUUUGUAUUUGAAAAUAGGUUUGUUGUUCCUAUUUGCCAUCAAGUCAAAUUCAACUUAUGGAUGACCUUAUGA